GUUUAAAUGGGUCUGAAUAUGUCACAUGUUCAGGAGUUUCGUUACAUGAUUAUGUAGUUUACACUUACAAAAAUAAAUAAAUACAUACAAACCGUAUUAAAUACAAUAUUGUACAAAUAAAAUUUUUUUUGGUUUCAUUUUUUGAUUUUAAUUUUAACUUUCUUUCCCGCCACUAAAAAUUCAAACCUCAACGGUCGCGAGGACAGUGAGGACAGCGGGUAUCACCUCAGGAUGGCGGAGAUGAUAAUUAGCGAUUAUUUCUGUAAAAAAGUUGGACAUUCUUAUUUCGAAUACACUCCUGAAUGAAAUGUUAACGUGAUUUAAGUAAUUUGGCGUCGAAAUCAGCGUUUGGGUGUAUAUGAAGGAUAUCUGAAGAUUACGAACUGCCCCAUCUUGUUGGUGAAGCGGCCCGUUGGGACAUUGAGGAAUCUGGUAAAAGUGAAGUGGCCCGCUGGGACGUUGAGGGGUCUGUUAAAAAUCCUGUGUGCAAUUGAGCGGUACAACACAAGAGAUUCAUCGGGAGACCAUGAUAUAAGCCCCCGCCACAAAACAACAAGAAGGUAAGAUAUGAGUUAAAACAGUGUUUUUUUGUUACUGCAACGCUACAAAACCUGUUUUUCCUCUUGUUUUUAACAUCAAAAGACAUUCUCGAUCUGAAUGCGGUAAGUCGAGCGUAGCAGGAAAUAGUGGUGAGAAUAUUUCCACACUCACUCCUCGUUAGUAUAGUGGUAAGUAUCCCCGCCUGUCACGCGGGAGACCGGGGUUCGAUUCCCCGACGGGGAGAGUACUCUUUUUUUCCCUCUGUGUGUGUUCACAGGAAAACUCAUUUAUAGACUCCCAACUGUAUAUCUAAAGAUUACCUGUGAAUAACAUAAUUGUUUUAUUUUAAAAUGAGACAAAACAUCUCAUUAGUAGAUCGUUUUACUUACGAAAAGAUGCUACUCUUCUAAACUAGACUUGUUUUUGUAGGUUUUUGCGUCUCUUUGAUUUUCCACUGACUUUGAAGUGAAAUAUCUAGAAAUGUUUUCAAAGCAGCUUGUGAAUCAUUAGUUAAAACAGCUCUGCUGUGUUGGUUAGCGUGUGGUGCUAAUAACGCCAAGGUCGUGGAUUCGAUCCCCGUAUGGGCCAAUGUUUAGCUUCUGCAAUGGUUUGAUUUAUAUUUUAACUUUUAAAAUCUGUUUCAUAAUAAUAAUAAUAAUAAGGAAAAAAAUUCAGCAUCUCGUGUGAUUUUGCUGAUUAAAGGUAUAGUUUAGUUAAAAUUCUAAAAGGCCCUGAAAAGGUCUUGAUGGUUAACAUUACAUAAUGUAUUUGCUAAUGUGAAUAACAUGAAUA
Cyprinus carpio (common carp) is the source of this 1332-nucleotide long non-coding RNA. The record is from Ensembl. Lineage: Eukaryota; Metazoa; Chordata; Actinopteri; Cypriniformes; Cyprinidae.